Molecule: transfer RNA, 18 nt
Filed under: Odocoileus virginianus (white-tailed deer)
Lineage: Eukaryota; Metazoa; Chordata; Mammalia; Artiodactyla; Cervidae
Description: partial tRNA-Thr
Source: RNAcentral
CCAAUCUCCCUAAGACUC